This is a long non-coding RNA of Scophthalmus maximus (turbot), 699 nucleotides long. RefSeq lists it as uncharacterized. The transcript is spliced from 4 exons. NCBI's taxonomy places the organism in Eukaryota, Metazoa, Chordata, Actinopteri, Pleuronectiformes, Scophthalmidae. The record is from RefSeq and is a predicted model, not a curated record.
GUGUCGACUGCCGGUUCGAUCCGAACCCGGAGGACCGCGCACCGCCGGCACUCGCUAGGAAGCGCCGCGGAUCCCUUCUCGCGCAUCGCCGCAUCCGAGGACGGACCACAGACACUCGUUCACCCGCAAAGGAGUACAGUUUUCAGAGGAAUGAAUCAGGUCCCCAUCCCUCUCAGCUGCAUUAUACACCACCCAGGCCUAGAGCCGAAUUGCCUCAACUUGUACACCCUGCAGAACAUCUACAAAAUGGACUACGGACAUCUGAGGUGCAGAACAGAAGAAGAGUGCAACCACUUCCCCCUUUGACAGAUGCUUGGGGAUUGGGAUUUUUUUCAUCUCCUCCACAAAUGGGGCUGGGUCCUCAAACACCAUCCUCAUCAAGUCACCCACAAAAUCUGCUUUGUGGUGGAUUCACCCUUCUUUGUCUUGGGGAACACGACUCUGUAAACUGGAUGUCCUGAAGAUGAUGAAGCUGCAUUUAAUUAUAAUGGGGGACAUUUGGGAAAGAGGGGGUCUUCUUACCUAUGGAUAUUUUGAACCUGGUUAAAAAGUGAAGUCCACUUGGCCACCUUCUCAGGCCCUGAGGUUGAAGAGGUUGCACCCCAAUAGACAUGGUUCUAUAAACUGUGGAACCGGGGUAUAGCUGAUUGGUGUGAUGUACCCUGAAAUACAAGGGCAAAUAAAACAAUAACAAUUUUG